GUGGCGGUUUAUUAGAAAACAGAAACUCAAAAGUGAUAUUCUAUUUCCUUACCAUUUUGGGUUCCACUGGAUUCUUAUGGUAAUUCAAUUUCACACCUCCUCAGUUCUCGUCCACGACUCUCUGAAUAUGGAUCCGGCGCUUUGGGCCGACAUGAGAAAAAUGAUGCAAAAGGUUUGGAGACGGUUCGUAGAUACCAAGGUCGGUGAAUUCAAAAAAGAGCUACAUUUUAAAAUGGCAGUGCGGACGACUGGGGAUAUUCAGCCACCGGGGACCAAUCUAUGUGGAUACUAUGUUUGUGAGAGGAUCCGGAGAUACUGCAAUGAGCGGGACCAGAAGUGUGAGAACAACAUCCUGAGGAAUAACCUCCGGAAGACGCUUAGUCCAGAAGCUCGCUUCCGACCACUUCAAGAGGAACUAGCUGGAUGGUUGGCGAGGGAAGUCAUCGAUCCUAGAGGAGAACACCAUUACGAUGACGUAGAUCUUUAUAUGCACUAAAUUAUGGAUGGAAACUUGUUCAAAAUUGUAUAUGGUCAUCCGAUAUUGAAUAUAUAUUGUAUA
Lolium perenne is the source of this 559-nucleotide non-coding RNA. Lineage: Eukaryota; Viridiplantae; Streptophyta; Magnoliopsida; Poales; Poaceae. The record is from RefSeq and is a predicted model, not a curated record.